UACGACUACAUAUCAGGCAUAUCAAUAAGCGGAGGAAAAGAAACUAACAAGGAUUCCCUUAGUAACGGCGAGUGAAGCGGGAAGAGCUCAAAUUUGAAAUCUUCAAGGUUUUACCUUGACGAAUUGUAGUUUAAAGAAGUGUUUUCUGUUGAAGUUUUGGUAAAAGUUCUUUGGAAUAGGACAUCAUAGAGGGUGAGAAUCCCGUAUUCGACCAUUAUUUUCAGCUGUGUGAUACACUUUCAAAGAGUCGGAUUGUUUGGGAAUGCAGUCCAAAAUGGGUGGUAAAUUUCAUCUAAAGCUAAAUAUUGGCGAGAGGCCGAUAGCGAACAAGUACCGUGAGGGAAAGAUGAAAAGAACUUUGAAAAGAGAGUUAAACAGUACGUGAAAUUGUCAAAAGGGAAGCGUUUGACACCAGUGUUGUUUUCUCGAAAAUCAAUUAAAAAAAGUUGGAUUUUGUGUUGUAUUGACCUUAACAGCUUGCUUCACUCUUUUCCAGCUUUUUUUAAUGCACUUUUCGUUUAACAAGUCAACAUCAGUUUCUUUUGUUGUAAAAGGGUCAUUGGAAGGUGGCUUUCUCUUCGGAGAAAGUGUUUAUAGCCUUUGAUCUCUGCAAUCGGAGAGACUGAGGUCUGCAGCGUAGAUCCUUCGGGGUUAGAUACAUUUGUGCUAAGCUACAGCUUUUCAUAGACAACUUGUUGACUAUGUUUAGUCUUGUGACUUACCCGCUUAUGCUAUUUUACCUACGCUUAGGAUGUUGAGCGCAUGUCUCUCUCU
RNAcentral lists this ribosomal RNA (774 nucleotides) under uncultured Neocallimastigales. RNAcentral's name for it is "partial large subunit ribosomal RNA". It matches the Rfam family "Eukaryotic large subunit ribosomal RNA", at positions 24 to 616 of the family's 3401-position model. The record is from RNAcentral. Lineage: Eukaryota; Fungi; Neocallimastigomycota; Neocallimastigomycetes; Neocallimastigales.